UCGAUAAAGCUUACAGCUUCAGC
RNAcentral lists this small nuclear RNA (23 nucleotides) under Arabidopsis thaliana (thale cress). RNAcentral's name for it is "snRNA_11751". The record is from RNAcentral. Lineage: Eukaryota; Viridiplantae; Streptophyta; Magnoliopsida; Brassicales; Brassicaceae.